RNAcentral lists this ribosomal RNA (450 nucleotides) under uncultured bacterium. Its description in RNAcentral is "bacterial SSU rRNA". It matches the Rfam family "Bacterial small subunit ribosomal RNA", at positions 28 to 478 of the family's 1533-position model. The record is from RNAcentral.
GAUGAACGCUGGCGGCGUGCCUAACACAUGCAAGUCGAGCGAAGCGCUGUUUUCAGAAUCUUCGGAGGAAGAGGACAGUGACUGAGCGGCGGACGGGUGAGUAACGCGUGGGCAACCUGCCUCAUACAGGGGGAUAACAGUUAGAAAUGACUGCUAAUACCGCAUAAGCGCACAGGACCGCAUGGUGUAGUGUGAAAAACUCCGGUGGUAUGAGAUGGACCCGCGUCUGAUUAGGUAGUUGGUGGGGUAAAGGCCUACCAAGCCGACGAUCAGUAGCCGACCUGAGAGGGUGACCGGCCACAUUGGGACUGAGACACGGCCCAAACUCCUACGGGAGGCAGCAGUGGGGAAUAUUGCACAAUGGGGGAAACCCUGAUGCAGCGACGCCGCGUGAAGGAAGAAGUAUUUCGGUAUGUAAACUUCUAUCAGCAGGGAAGAAGAUGACGGUAC